Molecule: long non-coding RNA, 498 nt
Organism: Acanthochromis polyacanthus (spiny chromis)
Lineage: Eukaryota; Metazoa; Chordata; Actinopteri; Pomacentridae
Exons: 2
Source: RefSeq, a predicted model, not a curated record
CGGCUGUUUCGGUUCUUCUUUCUUUUCGCCGGCUCUUCGUUGCGGCUCUUGUUCUCGUUCUGUUUGCCGACUCUGUGAUUGGUGCCGACAACUGGCUGUUUUUGACUGUGUUGGCGUGUAUUUUCCAUUAGGUUUACCGCCAACGUGUGUAGAGUUACUGCAUUGUACUUUUUCUGUUAAAAACCUCAGGCUAUGAGGAUUAUCACGCCUCAUAUGUCACCUGUGUUUUAAAAGUUAUUGUGGUUUGGUGAGCCUCGGCGGCAGUUUAAUCCCUGGUGGUGGUUCACGGAUCCCUUUUUCGUUGGUGUGUUGUCACAGGUGUGAUUAUUUGGACCCCCUUUUUCUUCUUUUUGGUUAUUUGUUUGCCUGCCGCCAUGGUAAGCCAGCCUGCUCCCUUUAUUGUUUAAGUUUAGUACUCCUGAUUCUCUCUUUUAAACUGGUGGCUUGCUUUUUAUAUUUAAUGCCAUAAUUAAUAAAGAAAUUGUUGUAUUUUUGGAA